UACGGAGGGGGCGAGCGUUAUUCGGAAUCAUUGGGCGUAAAGGGCGCGUAGGCGGCCCCGUAAGUCUUGGGUGAAAGCCCUCGGCUCAACCGAGGAAUUGCGCUCCAAACUACUGUACUAGAGGAAGCUAGAGGUGAGCAGAACAGAUGGUGGAGCGGUGAAAUGCGUUGAUAUCAUCUGGAAUACCGGAGGCGAAGGCGGCUCACUGGGGCUUUUCUGACGCUGAGGAACGAAAGCCAGGGUAGCGAACGGG
RNAcentral lists this ribosomal RNA (253 nucleotides) under uncultured bacterium. Its description in RNAcentral is "partial 16S ribosomal RNA". It matches the Rfam family "Bacterial small subunit ribosomal RNA", at positions 524 to 776 of the family's 1533-position model. The record is from RNAcentral.